This 253-nucleotide ribosomal RNA is filed under the name uncultured bacterium. RNAcentral describes it as "partial 16S ribosomal RNA". It matches the Rfam family "Bacterial small subunit ribosomal RNA", at positions 524 to 776 of the family's 1533-position model. The record is from RNAcentral.
UACAGAGGGUGCAAGCGUUAUCCGGAAUCAUUGGGUUUAAAGGGUCCGUAGGCGGUUUAGUAAGUCAGUGGUGAAAGCCCAUCGCUCAACGGUGGAACGGCCAUUGAUACUGCUAAACUUGAAUUAUUAGGAAGUAACUAGAAUAUGUAGUGUAGCGGUGAAAUGCUUAGAGAUUACAUGGAAUACCAAUUGCGAAGGCAGGUUACUACUAAUAUAUUGACGCUGAUGGACGAAAGCGUGGGUAGCGAACAGG